GUAGGGUGCAAGCGUUGUCCGGAAUUACUGGGCGUAAAGAGUUCGUAGGCGGUUUGUCGCGUCGUUUGUGAAAACCAGCAGCUCAACUGCUGGCUUGCAGGCGAUACGGGCAGACUUGAGUACUGCAGGGGAGACUGGAAUUCCUGGUGUAGCGGUGAAAUGCGCAGAUAUCAGGAGGAACACCGGUGGCGAGGGCGGGUCUCUGGGCAGUAACUGACGCUGAGGAACGAAAGCGUGGGUAGCGAACAGGAUUAGAUACCCUGGUAGUCCACGCCGUAAACGGUGGGCGCUAGGUGUGGGUUCCUUCCACGGAAUCCGUGCCGUAGCUAACGCAUUAAGCGCCCCGCCUGGGGAGUACGGCCGCAAGGCUA
This 371-nucleotide ribosomal RNA is filed under the name uncultured organism. Its description in RNAcentral is "partial 16S ribosomal RNA". It matches the Rfam family "Bacterial small subunit ribosomal RNA", at positions 527 to 896 of the family's 1533-position model. The record is from RNAcentral.